UCCCUAAGAGAGCACCUGGAAAAAGAUAGAGAAAAAAAUAGAGAGCUAAAAAAGAAGGUUGGGCAGCAAUACCAUUUUCUUCUUUGUUUUGAGCAGACAAAAACGAUAGCCGCCACAACCUUUUUCUUCGUCCAAGACAACCCCCUAAACUUUAGAUUUGAAUCACCCUAAGACCACCAUAAAAUGUCCAGCCAUGGAUGCCACUGAAGCUAAAAUGUCACCCGAAAUCAUCACCUAAAACUCGACAAAACCCAGCUGAAAACCCCCCAAAAAUCAUGGUCGAACAAGGUCAGUCGAGGUCACCAAAAAGUUUUCGUUCGGGGUCAAAUUUACCCUUAGAUCAAGUUCCAUCACUCAGAAGUUUUUAUCUGUAUUUUCGUUGUCUCUAAGGUUCGUCCUUUUCACCUUCUGCUUCAAUACAAUUUCUGCCUUGUUUAGCAAAUGUCCUAUUGUUCUUGGUCUACUUGUUUUAGUUGAAUUUAGCAUGUUACGAUAUGAGUUUGCAUUUAAUAGAUUUUGGGGUUGCAAUAAUUUGAGAAAUUUGGUAUUAUGCUUUGCUCAACUUCAUUGAUCUCGUAAUUUACAGCAAAAGUUUUAGUAUAGGAAUUUAAAAUUUGAAAAGCACACUCAAGGCUCACUUUCUUGUUUAUUACAGCCUAUUUCAUAUUUAUAUUUGCCUUGUUAAGAGUUUUGAAUAUUUUUAUGUGUUUAUUUCAUUAGCUUUGCAUAAAAUUAUUUCAUGUUGGCUACUGUAUUUGGAUAAUUUUAGAAAUUGUAGAGAACAUUGAAAGGCAUGACUAAGAAUUUUCGUCCAUGUAUUUUAAGAUUAAAGAAGGUAAAAGAUGAAUUGGGAAAUGCACUGCUAAGGCAAAUGAGGUCGCAGAUUAUGAAUUUCGGGAUUUGUUUGGUUGUAUAAGAAUUAAAUUUGGACUCGAAUGAGUUAAUUAAAUUUUUGCACAGCCUGACAAUAAUAAGAGAUGUGAAAGCUAGCACAUCUUUUCAUAAUAGCUAAAAUUAUGCAUCUCUUUCACAAUAAUUUUAUAUCCAUAAAUCAUGGCCUUACAAUAAUCUUGAAUUUAGGAAAUGAGGAAUUCAUAAGCUAGUUGCUUUAAGCGCGAACUAAUAAAAUAAUUGUCCUAGUUGUGGGUUCGGUUCCCAUGGCACAACUGUGAUAUGUAACCCCAAAUUCAAGUGCACGUUCGCGUGACUUGACCCCAACUUUAAAUAAUAAUAAAAUAAAUAUGUCUUAAAUUGUGGGUGCAUUUUACGCAGCACGAUUUGCGAUGUGUAUAAAAUGACAAGUGUACGACAUCAUAACUUAUUUAAAUAAAUUUAAUAAUUAUUUAAAAUAAAUAAAAAGAGGUAGAAGAUAAAAUGCCCAAUAGGUUUUUAAACAUGUAAUAAAUCAGAUAAUUAGGCCAUUUAUUAAUAGUUGAGCAACUGUGCUAAAACCCCGGAACUCGGGAGUGCUUCAAACCUUCUCCCGGACUAACAGAAUUUCUUACCCGGUUUUCUGUGUUAGCCGACCAUAAAUAAGAGUCAAUUUCCUCGAUUUGGGAUUUUAAAAUGAACUGGUAACUUGGGGCACCAUAAUAAUUAUCCCAAGUGGCGCCUCUGAUUAAAUAAAUAAUCUCAUUUCGAAUAAUGUCACUUUAAUUGGAAAAAGUAUGGAUUCUUCGAAAAAAAGAGGUGUGACAAAGGUGAUCCGAAUAUCGAAGAGAUUACUCCCAAGAUGGCCUGACUAUGGGAGAAAUUACUCUCAAGGUGACCCGACUAUCGGAGAGAUUACUCUCAAGGUGGCCCGAAUAUCAGAGAGAUUACUCUCAAGAUGGCCCAACUAUCAGAGAGAUUUCUCUUAAUGUGGCCCGACUAUCGGAGAGACUACUCUCAAGGUGACCUGACUAUCAUAGAGAUUACUCUCAAAGUGUCCCGAUUAUCGGAGAGAUUACUCUUAAAGUGACCCGAAUAUCGAAGAGAUUACUCUCAAGGUGUCCCGACUUUUGGAGAGAUUACUCUCAAAGUGAUCUGAAUAUCGAAUAGAUUACUCUCAGAGUGUGAAGGGAUGGGUACUCUUCCCCUCCCAAAACCGGAGGCCAUUUUAGAAUGCAAAGGUUCAUACAACAUAUCGAAGUACAAGUCCAUGGAAACAAAUUGAUGGAGAAAUCCUCAACAUCAUAUGGAGGACAAAUCCAUGGCAGCAUAUAGUAGGGUAAAUCCAUAAAGAGGCCAUCUUAAGGUGCAAAGGGACUUAAAUUUUCACCUUAAGAUUGGAAAGUUAUAGUUCCCUUUAAGGACAAACCCGCAAAGAGGCCAACUUAAGGUGCAAAGGGAGUAACAUGUCCACAUUAAGAUUGGAAAAUUAUAGUUCUUUUAAGCAUAAACCCGUAAAGAAGCCAACUUAAGGUGCAAAGGGGCUAACAUGUCCACCUUAAAAUUGAAAAAUUAGAAAGCUUAAACUCGAAGACUUGGUGGACUUGAUAACAUCAAUUUGAACACUUGGCGGACUUGCAGACUUCAACUUGAAGACCGACAAGCUUGAAGAUUUGAUGGACUUAAAUUCUCAGCAGAAUUUGACGCUUCAACCUGAAGACUUUGAGGGCUUAAAUAUUUCAACUUGAAGAUCGGCGAAUUAGAGGACUUCAACUUAAAGAAUUGGAGGCUUAAAUAUUUCAACUUGAAGAUCGAAGAACUUGAAGACCAGCAGACUUAAAGAUUUGGCGAACAUGAAGACAUAGUGAACCCUCUUACUUUUGCGCAAAUAUUUGGUAGCCUCCGAAAAGACUAUAAUCAUCCGAUUGAAGACACUUAUUUACCAUGGAAACUUGCCCCCUCUAAGUCAUAUGAGAUCCAAACUUCAAUAGAAGAAUGAUAUUUCAGCUCGACUUUCAAGUGCUGGUGUAGGCAUAUAAAUUUUAUCAGAACAAAAUCCAUAAAAUAACAUGGACUAUAUUUUAAUAUAUUAGUCCAAAUAAAUAUGUUGGGAUAAUAUAAUUGAUUAAUUAUAUAAUUCCAAUAUAAUUGGACUAGCCAGUUUAAUUGAGCUAUAAAUAAUGAGCCCACUUCAUCAGACUCAAGAUAUCAUCUUCUUAGAGGUCCAGUUUGGUACCACACGUGAAAUGACGUGACACACCAAGUCAAACAGAAGAGCCAAUAAGAUCGUUCCAUAUGUUAAAAUGACAAUGCAUGACAAAUCAAAUUAAAAGGCCAAUGAAAUCGCGCCACAUGUGGAAGUAACAUGUUCUGACCAAUCAAAUAUGGCCUUGUCACUCUUCAAUCUGAUUGGUUGGAAAGAGUUUGUUCUUAUCGUAACUCUUUCCUCCCACAACUAUAAAUAGGGGUCUGCAUAACACAAAAAAGACACCAGAAGUUAUAACAAGAAGCAAAAGAGAAAGAGAAGUUAAAAAGAAAUCCAAUUCACAUCCUUAUAGCUCUAACGAUUAGGGUUUUUGCGAAGAUUGUACGUAAAGCUUCGCGAGCUCUUUCAUGGCAUCGCCGACCAGUGGCCAGCCACCUGAUGGGGUUGGUCAGUCAUCCACACCUCCCUCACAAUCUACUACAACCAUUACACCCACAAAUCUAAUCCAAAAAUAUGUUGAUCUCUUAUAACCAAAAUUAUUAAAUAAUCACAUGCAAACCCUAGCCACCGUUCCUAUAAAACCAGCGGAGUAUUUACAUGGAGAACCUAUCAUACGCUGGAAAAAGGAGGAAGUGAAGAAGUCCAUCGUUAAACAAGGCUUGCAACUGGCAGUGUUGGGUAAAUUUUCUUAUGGGAAGCGAUUAAUCAACGAAUUGCACAAAGUUAUACCUAUACAAUGUGAGUUGAAAGGUGCUUGUUCUAUAGGGCUUAUUGAAGAUAAUCAUGUGCUAAUUAAGCCGUCAUUAUUGGAGGAUUAUGUUCAUCUACUCUCAAAUCCUGCCUUUUAUUUGAAAACACAAGGUGUAUGUGGCAGAUGCGAUGCACUAAGUGGAAUCCAUGGUAGAAACCUGAUGAAGAAACUCUCAUUGUUGUUGCGUGGAUUAGCUUCCCAGAGCUGCUACCAAAUUUUUUUUGUAAGGAAUUUGUGUUUUCACUUGUAAGGGCAGUAGGUAAUCCACUUCAUAUUGAUUUGGCUAACAAAAUGACACAAGAACUAGUUCUGCUAAAGUUAAGGUAGAAGUGAAUUUACUUGCAAAAUUCCCUCAAAGGGUUAAGAUUGUGGAAGAAGAAAAUGAGACUGGGCCGGAGGAGUCUAAAUGGAUCAAGAUCAGAUAUGAUUACUUGCCAAAAUAUUGUAAGACAUGUAGAAAGAAAGGGCACAAUGAAGUUGAAUGCUGGAUAAUUCAUCCAGAAUUGCAUAAGAGGUAUGAUGACAAAGAGGAGGAGAAAACUACUGGAAAGGAUGAAGUUGGUACGGCAGCUAACUCAACCAAAGUUUUGUCAAGUGGAAAAGUGGUAGGUAAACCAAUCGCAAAUAAGGCUAAGCCGGAAUGGAUGCAAUCAAGAAAGAAUAAGUAUCAACGAGAUAAUAGGGUCAUAUGAUUGACAAUGUAAAGGACAAGGAAGCUGACAAUGUGACGGGAAAGGCCAAAGUUGAUACAGUAGCAAUGAAAACAAAUUUGAUGCAUUAGAAGUGGAAGAAUGUGAUCAAACAACAUUAAGGAUUACUGAAGGCAAAAGAGAAGACAAGGGCAGUGACAAAAAGAAGGAACAAGGGAAUAAUCAAGCCAAAAAGGUGUAGGAGAAGGUGCAAAAUUCUUGAAAUUCCAGCCUUAAUCCUAAUGGAAAUGGGAUUAGAUUAGCUGGGAAAGAGGAAUUCCUAAUCCUAUUGAAGGAGAGAGUCAAAAGCUUGAAGAAAUAAGGCUUGUGAAAAAAUAAACAGUGAAAAAAGUACUAUCCAAUGAGAAAAAGUGGAAUUCUACUCCUACGGGAUUGUCAAAUCUGUAGGUAAUGGGUCUAGAUCAGUGGCAAAAGAAGGAAUUACCAAUCCUUCAGGAGAAAGAAAUAAGGUAGUUAAGUCCGCUCCUAGUCCUACUAAUAAUGGGAGUAGGGAUGAGUUAACGAAGGAAAGAACAGUAGAUUGGGUGGCUAGAAGAUUUGGUGCAGCUCGCGAAUAUAUAAAGGUCACUACUAAUUAUUCAUGUCAAGAAAUUACCUCACAAACACUUGAUGAUAGCUCAAAGGGAAUUGAAACAUCUCACACUAAUACUGAUGCAAAGAAAGCAUAGGGAGAAUAAGUUUAGAAGUUGGAGAUCACCAAUGCAGCUGAUAUGAUUGUCAAUGGCAAUGAAAUAGAUGAAAAUCAACAAGAAGCUUGGGGUUAUAGAGGAUUAUCAAAAGAAGCUGGAAUUCAAGAUGGAUCAGCUAAUGCAACAAAGCCAAGAAACAUGCCAAUGGAACAGUAAAAUCUAGGAAUUCUGGGGAGAUUUUGGCAAAUGUGGAUGUUGUUCCAGAGUAUUUUUUAAGGAAAGAGUAGGUUAAGAAUGUCAAUGUGGAGGUAUUGAAGGAUACAAUGGGAUCAUAUCACCAAACAGUUGAUGGGAAGGGUAGUACUCCCAAUGGAAUAGUAAUUUCUGGGAAUUCUGGUAUAGUGAACCCCAGCUUGGGUUCUAUUUAUGAUUUACAAUUUAAGAUUAUGCAGGAGAAUCUGGGGAUUAUGGAGAUCAAUUCUGAGUUAUUGAAGGAGGCAACAAUGAAGGAACAUGAUCAUAUUGAGCAAGCCAUAUUACCCAGGGAGCUAGGGACAAUUGAGAUAGUGCCUAUAGCAUGUUCAGGCACUGAUCAGAUUAUGCAGUUAUACCUCAAUGUACCUAUGAAGUCACCAUUGCAGACGUUACAUGACAUUGUCACACACAAUGUAGCACCUGUAGAUGGAGCAUUCCUAGAUCAGCAACAAAUGGGAGAAGAGGGAGAUGAUGAAUCAAUUGUUGGCACUUUUAAACAAAUGGCAAGAGAAGCAGAUUUAUCACCUAAAACCAAUGCAAAGGGAGGCAAGAAAUCAAAGAAGCAGACUCAGAAUAAGGAACUUCUACAACCAUCAAGAAUCAUGCCCAGGAAGGCAGCUUCACGAACUAAGUGAUAAUGAUCAAAACACUAAUUUGGAACAUAAGGUUUGUGAUUACUCAACGGGCCUUUCCUAGAGUGAUCAACAUGCAAAGGGUGCACAAUUUCUUUGUCAUUUCAUUGAUGGAUCCAUUUCAGAAGAAAGGAUUUAUACAAAGAUAUAGGAAAAGGUUGAAUAUGGAGUCAGCUUAUUCGAGCAUUAAUGGGAGGAUUUGGUUAUUUUUUGAUAUUGUGGUGGAAUGGGAAUUAGUUGUUGAUACUGAGCAACAUGAGACUGUCAAAAUAUUUCACCAUGACAUUGGGUAGCACAUCAUGAUGACUUCUUUAUGCAAAGUGUUUUGCAUUAGAGAGGCUGGAGUUGUGGGAUAAUUUAUAUUACAUAGCAAGUGAUAUGGAGUUGCCUUGGCUAGUAGGAGGAGAUUUUUAUGUGAUAUUACAUGAAGAUGAGAAGAUAGGGGGAUUGCCAAUACACCCUCCUAAAUAUGAUGAUUUUGCCUUUUUUGUAAACUCAUGUGGAUUGUUUGAUCAAGGGUACAAAGGCAGUCCAUUUACAUGGUGGAAUGGAAGAUCCAAUAUUGAGUGUAUAUUUAAGAGAUUGGACAGGAUUCUUGUGAACUUGCCAUUUCAGAAUAUGAUGCUAACAAUUGAAGUGGAACAUUUGAUAAGUACUGGAUCAGAUCAUGCCCCAUUACUCAUUACAUAUGGAGAGCAGACCACAAAUUUUGUCAAACCAUUCAGAUUUUUGAAUUUCUGGACAAAACAUGAUACAUUUAUGGAGGUAGUGAAACAGAAUUGGAAUGCUGAUUUUAUUGGAGAUCCAUUCCUAAUGUUUUAGCCCAAACUAAAGAAGGUGAAGGCAACAUUGUCUAAAUUGAGUAGGGAUACAUUUGGUGACAUUUUCAAGCAGUUAGCUAUAUUGGAAGAUAUUGUUAGGGUAAAGGACAUUUUCAAACAGUUAGCUAGAGAGAAUAGGAUAGUUCUUUAGAAGCUCAAUCAGAAUUGAAGAAGUACUUGAGUAUAGAAGAGCAAUACUGGAAGCAAAAACUGGAAUGCCAUGAUUUGUUGAGGGUGAUAGAAGCACUAGUUUCUUUCACAACCAUGUUACUGGCAAGAGAAAGAAACUGCAAUUGAAAAGGAUUCGGAAUGGAGAUGGAGCAUGGCUUGAAGAUCAAGUGCAGAUGGCUAGUAUAGCAAUUGAAUUCUAUCAAAGACAGUUCUCAAAGGAGGGAGAUUCUACUGAUUUCUCUUUGUUAGACAAUGUUCCAACUAUGGUGACCAUAGAGCAGAAUUUGGAGCUGUGUAGAUUUCCAACAUUAGAAGAGGCCAAGGCUGCAGUUUUUGAAUUAAGUGGAGACAACGUUUGUGGUCCAGAUGGAUUCACUGGUCUUUUCUACCAAACAUAUUAGGAGGUGAUAUGAUAUGAUAUUCACAAUAUGGUGCUUCAUUUUUAUGGAGGUGCAGCUUUGCCAAAGUCCAUUACUCAUAAUAAUUUGGUGUUGCUGCCAAAGAAGCCAAGAGUCCAGACAUUCUCAGAGUUAAGACCAAUAAAAUUGAGUUAUUUCAUCAACAAAGUGCUUUCAAAAGUUGUUCAUGACAGAUUGGAGAAGUUCCGGCCUAUCUAUAUAUCUCCAACCCAAUCUGGAUUUGUAAAAAGGAAGGAGUAUCUUUGAAAACAUCCUCCUAACACAAGAAAUUUUCACUGAUAUCAAGAAGAGAGGCAAGCCUGCUAAUGUGUUGAUAAAGCUUGAUAUGACAGACAUAUGAUAUGGUGUCUUGUAAAUAUUUGAUGCAUGUGCUAAGAAAAAUGGGAUUUGCUGAACAUUUUAUCAAUAUAGUUUGGAACCUACUCUCUAAUAAUUGGUAUUCAGUGUUGGUUAAUGGACAAGCAUCAGGUUUCUUAAAGUCUACAAGAGUGGUGAAGCAAAGAGAUCCAUUGUCCCCUACCUUAUUCAUAUUAUUGUAUGAAGUUCUAUCUAGGUCUUUGAAUAAACUGUUUGAUGAUAAGUCCUUUAUUGGAUUUGGCAUGCCUAAAUGGUCUGAUCCGUUGAAUCAUUUGGAAUAUGCUGAUGAUAUAAUUAUAUUUACCUCAGCUCAUCCUUCCUCUUUGAAUGAAUUUAUGGCAGUAUUAGGAGGCUAUAAGCAGAUCUCAAGACAGCUAAUUAACAAAUCCAAGAGCUCUUAUUACAUGCAUAACAAUAUUGCACAUGCCUUAUUUCAAGCAUUUAGGGAUACUACAGGCUUUACUAGAGGGCAGUUUCCAUUCACAUACCUAAGGUGACCUAUUUUCUAUACUAAAAGAAAGAAAGAGUACUAUGAUGAUCUUAUAAAAAAAGUGAAGACAGAGUUACAUGCUUAGAAAUGCAAAUUGCUAUCAUUUGGAGGAAAGGCAACUUUCAUUACUAGUGUUCUUCAAAGCAUGCCAGUGCAUCUAUUGUCAGUACUGGAUCCUCCUAAAAAUAUACUGGAGCAUUUGCAUAAAAUCUUUGCAAGAUUCUUUUGGAGAACCAAGGAUGAAGGUAGGAGUAGGCAUUGGUCAUCCUGACAGAAUCUAUGCCUACCUAAAGAAGAAUGGGGCUUAGGUUCUAGAUUAUUACAAGAUGUCUCAAGAGCUCUAUUUGCUAAAAUUUGGUGGAGAUUUAGGACCACUAAAUCAUUGUGGUCCAACUUCAUGUGGAACAAGUAUUGUUAGAAGGAGAUGCCUACUAUUGUGCAAUUUAGGAAGGGUCUUAUGUGUGGAGGCAAAUGUUGAAUGCUAGGGAAGAAUUAGAGCAUGAGAUCAUGUGGGAGAUGAAGAGUGGAACAACCAAUAUAUGACAUGAAAACUGGAAUGGACUAGGUGCUCUCUAUCAUGUCCUACCUCCAUAUUUUCUAAUAAAUGAGGAGUUACAAGAGGUGGCAGAAUUGAGGCAAGGAGGAUCAUGGAAUGAUCAACUGAAUGAUCAAAGCUUCCCUGAGGAGAUUGUUGAUCAUAUAAGACAUAAUGUACAUUAUGAUGGCAGUAAGGAAUACUGGGACAAAACAUACUGGAUGCCAACAUCAUCAGGCAAAUUCACUGUUAGUAGUGCUUGGCAAAUUCUGAGUCAUAGAGCUGAUCCUAAUCAAGAAUUCAAAUAAAUAUGGACAAAAGGGUUGCCAUUUAAGAUAUCUUUCUUUUUAUGGAGGCAAAAACUAGCUACUGAUGAUCUAUGGAGGAGACAAGGGCAGAUGGUUAUGUCUAGAUGUUGGUAUUGUCAACAUCCAUAGGAGGAAACAUUAGAACACAUCUUAUUAACUAGCCCUACUAUAUGAAAAGUGUGAAAAUUGCUCAUGGGAGCUGCAGGGAUUAUGGUACAAUUAAUACAAGUGAUAAGGUAGUGGCGGAGUGUAAAAUGUUGCCCAAAGUUGAAACCACUGUUUCAAGCAGCUCCAGCCAUCAUUACAUGGGAGGUAUGGAAGAAGAGGAAUGCAGGCAAGCAUGGGGGAUCUGUGUCAAUUAAUAGGGUUAUUCAUAAAGUCAAUAUGACAUUGCAUCAAUUGGCAAGAGUUAGACAUCCAUGGCUAUAUCAAAUACCUAUGUUAUGGCCAGAUAUGAUCUAGCUCUUUGAAGCUUAUAAACCAGUAUUGAUCACUAGGAGAGUUACUUGGUAGCUCCCUCAUCAUGGGUGGUAUAAAACACUAAUGGAGCAUCAAAAAAAAAUGUUGGCCCUAGUUCACUUGGCUUUUAUGUGAGAAAUGAUGAAGGUGAUUUAGUGUAUGCAAGGGCAAUGGACUUAGGAGAGACCACAAAUGUUGUAGCUGAAGCAAAAGAAAUACUUCAAUGCUUGGAGUACUGUAUGGAGAAUGAUCUUUUUCCCCCUCAUAUUGUAAACUAAUUCGUUGGUGCUAAAGAAGGUGAUUGAAGGAGAAUGGGAUCCAUCUUGGUCUAUAGUUCCAUAAGUGCAGAAGAUUAAGGAGAUGAGGGAUAAUUUUAAUGUGAUCUUUCAACAUGUGUUCUGAGAGGGCGACACAGUUACAAAUUUUAUAGCUAACAUUAUUUUCUCUUUUGUAGUUGCAUCUGAAUUUCAUUCAUUUGCUGAAUAGACUUGUGCAGGGACGAGGCUACUCAAUCUUGACAAAACACAAACUCCUAAUCUCAGGGUUAGGAUUGGUGCUACUAGGUUUGUUAUUACAAUGGCCUGCAUGUCUUAUUGUAAUAUUCAAAAUCUGUAUACUGUUAGGGUAUUUUUCCAGUGGUAUUAGCAUGGUUUUAUGCUCAUUCUAGAGGUGCUUUAAUGGUGUAUAGAGGUUGUCAUAUAAGCAGGCGGUGGAUAGUGCACCUUAUAAUAUUUCUGGAAAAUCCAAUGUAUACUUAUGAGUUUCCGUAUAUACUUUGCAUUGUUUAUUGGUUCUGCUAUGUGCUUGAUCAUAGUCUAGAUUAGUGAUUGUUGAAAGACAAAAGCUGGGAUCCAAUGUUAUCAACAGGAUGGAUGAUUACUUAUGUGUACAUGUGUGCUACUAGGAUGUAAGCCAGUGGUAUUGGUAUGAUUUCAUGCCCAAUUUGGAGAUGUAAUAGCAGUAUAUAUUGCUUCAUUGAAUUGUAUUCAUGGCACAUAUGUAUAGGUUCUUAUUGGCAGAAUACAGGUCCAUAUAGGAACUUCAUGCUUAGGGAGUAUAAUACCCCAGUGUCACAUGGUAUUCUGAUGGAUUAUAGCUGGUAUUCAGAGUUUCUUGUAGGUGCAAUUUAUCAAAUUAGUAUGCUCUGCAGUGUCACCAUAAUAUCCAGUGGUAUUGACAUGGAUACAUGUCCAAUCUGGAGGUGUUAUGGCAGUGCAAGCAUAAUAUUGCAGGAUAUGGUACCUAUUAUAGGUUAUAUAGAUACUUCUUGGACUGAAUUUCUUUCAAGAUAUGUAGGGAACACAGAAUUGAUGUCUACAUUGAUAAUGCAAUUGGAAACCUUCGUGGAGUUUGGUCAUUCCUAAUAGAUGGUGUUGGUUGGAGAUUCAUAUUUGCCUUGUCCUUUGGAACGCAAAACUUGUCACCUGGUGAGA
This 11046-nucleotide long non-coding RNA is filed under the name Nicotiana tabacum (common tobacco). RNAcentral describes it as "long non-coding RNA (NTAB_LNC007991)". Lineage: Eukaryota; Viridiplantae; Streptophyta; Magnoliopsida; Solanales; Solanaceae. The record is from RNAcentral.